This 501-nucleotide ribosomal RNA is filed under the name uncultured bacterium. RNAcentral's name for it is "bacterial SSU rRNA". It matches the Rfam family "Bacterial small subunit ribosomal RNA", at positions 8 to 507 of the family's 1533-position model. The record is from RNAcentral.
AGAGUUUGAUCCUGGCUCAGAUUGAACGCUGGCGGUAUGCUUAACACAUGCAAGUCGAACGGUAACAGGGCCUUCGGGCGCUGACGAGUGGCGGACGGGUGAGUAACGCGUAGGAAUCUGCCUCAUAGUGGGGGACAACGUGGGGAAACUCACGCUAAUACCGCAUACGCCCUACGGGGGAAAGCGGGGGAUCUUCGGACCUCGCGCUAUGAGAUGAGCCUGCGUUAGAUUAGCUAGUUGGUAGGGUAAAGGCCUACCAAGGCGACGAUCUAUAGCUGGUCUGAGAGGACGAUCAGCCACACUGGGACUGAGACACGGCCCAGACUCCUACGGGAGGCAGCAGUGGGGAAUAUUGGACAAUGGGCGCAAGCCUGAUCCAGCAAUACCGCGUGUGUGAAGAAGGCCUAGGGUUGUAAAGCACUUUCAAUUGGGAGGAAAACCUGUCGGUCAAUACCCGGCAGCUUGACAUUACCUUUAGAAGAAGCACCGGCUAACUCCGUG